UACAGAGGGUGCAAGCGUUGUUCGGAAUUAUUGGGCGUAAAGGGUGCGUAGGCGGUUUGCUAAGUUUGAUGUGAAAGCCCGGGGCUCAACCCUGGAAUUGCAUUGAAUACUGGCGGACUAGAGUACUGGAGAGGAAACUGGAAUUUACGGUGUAGCAGUGAAAUGCGUAGAGAUCGUAAGGAAGACCAGUGGCGAAGGCGAGUUUCUGGACAGUUACUGACGCUGAGGCACGAAGGCCAGGGGAGCAAACGGG
This 253-nucleotide ribosomal RNA is filed under the name uncultured bacterium. RNAcentral's name for it is "partial 16S ribosomal RNA". It matches the Rfam family "Bacterial small subunit ribosomal RNA", at positions 524 to 776 of the family's 1533-position model. The record is from RNAcentral.